Molecule: ribosomal RNA, 253 nt
Filed under: uncultured bacterium
Lineage: Bacteria
Description: partial 16S ribosomal RNA
Rfam family: Bacterial small subunit ribosomal RNA
Source: RNAcentral
UACGGGGGGGGCAAGCGUUGUUCGGAAUUACUGGGCGUAAAGGGCUCGUAGGCGGCCAACUAAGCCAUACGUGAAAUCCCUCGGCUCAACCUGGGAACUGCGUCUGAUACUGGAUGGCUUGAAUCCGGGAGAGGGAUGCAGAAUUCCAGGUGUAGCGGUGAAAUGCGUAGAUAUCUGGAGGAAUACCGGUGGCGAAGGCGGCAUCCUGGACCGGCAUUGACGCUGAGGAGCGAAAGCCAGGGGAGCAAACGGG